UAGGGAAUCUUCGGCAAUGGACGAAAGUCUGACCGAGCAACGCCGCGUGAGUGAAGAAGGUUUUCGGAUCGUAAAACUCUGUUGUUAGAGAAGAACAAGGACGUUAGUAACUGAACGUCCCCUGACGGUAUCUAACCAGAAAGCCACGGCUAACUACGUGCCAGCAGCCGCGGUAAUACGUAGGUGGCAAGCGUUGUCCGGAUUUAUUGGGCGUAAAGCGAGCGCAGGCGGUUUCUUAAGUCUGAUGUGAAAGCCCCCGGCUCAACCGGGGAGGGUCAUUGGAAACUGGGAGACUUGAGUGCAGAAGAGGAGAGUGGAAUUCCACGUGUAGCGGUGAAAUGCGUAGAUAUAUGGAGGAACACCAGUGGCGAAGGCGGCUCUCUGGUCUGUAACUGACGCUGAGGCUCGAAAGCGUGGGGAGCAAACAGG
Molecule: ribosomal RNA, 429 nt
Filed under: Gemmatimonadota bacterium
Lineage: Bacteria; Pseudomonadati; Gemmatimonadota
Description: Gemmatimonadetes bacterium partial 16S ribosomal RNA
Rfam family: Bacterial small subunit ribosomal RNA
Source: RNAcentral